This 992-nucleotide ribosomal RNA is filed under the name bacterium enrichment culture clone 1.74. RNAcentral describes it as "bacterial SSU rRNA". It matches the Rfam family "Bacterial small subunit ribosomal RNA", at positions 11 to 1010 of the family's 1533-position model. The record is from RNAcentral.
GUUUGAUCCUGGCUCAGGAUGAACGCUGGCGGCGUGCCUAAUACAUGCAAGUCGAACGAGGUGCUUUUGUAGCAAUACGAAAGUAUCCUAGUGGCGAACGGGUGAGUAACGCGUUGGUGACCUGCCCCAAAGUGUGGGAUAACAGUCCGAAAGGAUUGCUAAUACCUCAUGUGGUCAUCGGGUUUAGAAACCGAUGACUAAAGCAGCAAUGCGCUUUGGGAGGGGCCUGCGUCCCAUCAGCUAGUUGGUGAGGUAAUGGCUCACCAAGGCGACGACGGGUAGGGGACCUGAGAGGGUGGCCCCCCACAAUGGAACUGAAACACGGUCCAUACACCUACGGGUGGCAGCAGUAGGGAAUAUUGCUCAAUGGGCGAAAGCCUGAAGCAGCAACGCCGCGUGCGCGAUGAAGGUCUUCGGAUCGUAAAGCGCUUUUAUGAGGGAUGAGAAAGGACAGUACCUCAGGAAUAAGUCUCGGCUAACUACGUGCCAGCAGCCGCGGUAAAACGUAGGAGGCAAGCGUUAUCCGGAUUCACUGGGCGUAAAGCGCGUGCAGGCGGUUCGGUAAGUUGGGCGUGAAAUCUCCUGGCUUAACUGGGAGAGGUCGUCCAAUACUACCGGACUUGAGAGUGAUAGAGGAAGAUGGAAUUCCCGGUGUAGUGGUGAAAUGCGUAGAUAUCGGGAGGAACACCAGUGGCGAAAGCGAUCUUCUGGAUCAUUUCUGACGCUCAGACGCGAAAGCUAGGGUAGUAAACGGGAUUAGAGACCCCGGUAAUCCUAGCCGUAAACGAUGUAAACUUGGCGUUGGUGGCUUAAACACCAUCAGUGCCGCAGCUAACGCGAUAAGUUUACCGCCUGGGGACUACGAUCGCAAGAUUAAAACUCAAAGGAAUUGACGGGGGCCCGCACAAGCAGCGGAGCGUGUGGUUUAAUUCGAUGCUACACGAAGAACCUUACCCGGGUUUGACAUGCAAGUGGUAGUGAUCUGAAAGGUG